RNAcentral lists this ribosomal RNA (253 nucleotides) under uncultured bacterium. Its description in RNAcentral is "partial 16S ribosomal RNA". It matches the Rfam family "Bacterial small subunit ribosomal RNA", at positions 524 to 776 of the family's 1533-position model. The record is from RNAcentral.
UACGGAGGGUGCAAGCGUUAUCCGGAUUCACUGGGUUUAAAGGGUGCGUAGGAGGGUAGGUAAGUCAGUGGUGAAAUCCCCGAGCUUAACUUGGGAACUGCCGUUGAUACUAUCUACCUUGAAUACCGUGGAGGUGAGCGGAAUAUGUCAUGUAGCGGUGAAAUGCUUAGAUAUGACAUAGAACACCAAUUGCGAAGGCAGCUCGCUACACGAAUAUUGACUCUGAGGCACGAAAGCGUGGGGAUCAAACAGG